UGAGGAAUAUUGGUCAAUGGGCGUAAGCCUGAACCAGCCAAGUCGCGUGAGGGAUGAAGGUUCUAUGGAUCGUAAACCUCUUUUAUAAGGGAAUAAAGUGCGGGACGUGUCCCGUUUUGUAUGUACCUUAUGAAUAAGGAUCGGCUAACUCCGUGCCAGCAGCCGCGGUAAUACGGAGGAUCCGAGCGUUAUCCGGAUUUAUUGGGUUUAAAGGGUGCGUAGGCGGCCUUUUAAGUCAGCGGUGAAAGUCUGUGGCUCAACCAUAGAAUUGCCGUUGAAACUGGGGGGCUUGAGUAUGUUUGAGGCAGGCGGAAUGCGUGGUGUAGCGGUGAAAUGCAUAGAUAUCACGCAGAACCCCGAUUGCGAAGGCAGCCUGCCAAGCCAUGACUGACGCUGAUGCACGAAAGCGUGGGGAUCAAACAGG
RNAcentral lists this ribosomal RNA (424 nucleotides) under Parabacteroides sp. enrichment culture. RNAcentral's name for it is "bacterial SSU rRNA". It matches the Rfam family "Bacterial small subunit ribosomal RNA", at positions 355 to 776 of the family's 1533-position model. The record is from RNAcentral. Lineage: Bacteria; Pseudomonadati; Bacteroidota; Bacteroidia; Bacteroidales; Tannerellaceae.